Molecule: unclassified non-coding RNA, 335 nt
Filed under: soil metagenome
Description: partial contains 5.8S ribosomal RNA, internal transcribed spacer 2, and large subunit ribosomal RNA
Rfam family: 5.8S ribosomal RNA (bases 1-120)
Source: RNAcentral
GAUGAAGAACGUAGCGAAAUGCGAUAAGUAAUGUGAAUUGCAGAAUUCAGUGAAUCAUCGAAUCUUUGAACGCACAUUGCGCCCGCCAGUAUUCUGGCGGGCAUGCCUGUUCGAGCGUCAUUUCAACCAUCAAGCCCCCGGCUUGUGUUGGGGACCUGCGGCUGCCGCAGGCCCUGAAAUGCAGUGGCGGGCUCGCUGUCACUCCGAGCGUAGUAGUUACAUCUCGCUCUGGGCGUGCUGCGGGUUCCGGCCGUUAAAAGCCUUAUUUACCCAAGGUUGACCUCGGAUCAGGUAGGAAGACCCGCUGAACUUAAGCAUAUCAAUAAGCGGAGGAU